CGCUCGCGCUGCGCCCACUGGCGUGAGACUGGGGAGGGGGACGCUCGCGCGCCGCCCGCCGCAGGAUACGUAACGCGGCGCGCUACGUGUGUGUGCGUCGUCACCGCUUGCGGAAGCGGAAAUUACGCAUGUUAGCCCCUAUCCUGUCUUGAUCUGAAUCUGAAUCUGAAUCUGGCUCUGGCCCGUCUCCUGUCUUCGCGCCCGCGGCGGCGCCCUCACGGCGCGUUCUUUGGCCAGUCACAGUCCCCGGGAGCCAAUCGCAGCGAGCGUUGGGGGGGGAGAGCGGGGGUGCGAGUGCCCAGAACUGACCUGUACAACCGCCAACCGCCGUUGCUCCUGGGCCUCUUCAGGGAUAACGGGGUGGGGGGAGGCCGAGCCCUGUCACCGCUGCCUGGCCUGGUAACAGUGUCAGUCGGGGGCUGAGGGGCGAGUACAAAGAUCAAUUGUCCGUGGCCACUGGUGGCAGGACGAGAAGUAACGGGCUUAAUCUGCAGCCGGGGAGGUUUGGGUUAGACCUAAGGUAAAACUUGUCGUAACUUUAAGGGAAGUUGAACUGUUGAACAGGCGUCCGAGGGAGGCCCUGGCGUCCCUGCCAUUGGAGGUUUUUAAGACCGGGUUGGACAAGCACCUGUCGAGGGUGGCCUAGGGUAACUCAGUCCUGCCUCAGCGUUAAGGGGCUGGUCUUGAGGAUGUCUCAAGGUCCCCUAAAGCCCUGCAUCUCUGUGAUACAAAAGGGAUGUGGAGAGGCUGCGUAGGACUCGUGUGAACUCUGUGUCACAGAACCGGGUUGGUGCAUGAGAUCAGCAUGCCCAGUAGAGCUUUAUGUCUGUGACAUUUGUUUUCCACUAUGGCCAUCUUCAGUUAAUAUUCUUCUGAGAUUAGAGUGUAUACACAAUAGGCUUAAUCCUCAGACCAAGUCUGUGAUUGACUACCUACCUGGAGCCAUUAUGAUGUGUUUAUCAUGAGUCCAAGCUACUUCAGCAACUGUAUAAGUCUGUUUCCUUCAGCUCUCUCUCUGUACAGCACCCUGACCAGCAAAAUUAUCCAGGAAGAAAUAGGAGUCAAGUUCUUUCUUCCUUAAAGCCAGUAUUAAUACAUGAUCUGGGCUCAUGCUGACAUAUUUCAUACAUGGGAGGGAGAUGAGGUGACACCUGCUUGGAUAUAGCUGCCUGUAAAAGGCCUGUUAAACGAAGAGGCCACUCCUUUCAGAAGGGGGUGAAGAUCUACCUGCCAGCGUUCUUGACAAAUCCAAUAUCUGCCAGUACUUGUUGGCAGAUGUCACAGCAGAAGCAUUCUGGAUGCCAGCUAUUAUUCAUAGCUUUAAUAACACGACCGAUAAUGAACUCACCUGUAGGUUAUGAAAGGCUAAGGCUUGCCAAACAUUGAGGGAAUGGAGCUUCCAUUCUUCUGAGGAUGUGUGACGUUUUGGGAAGAAUACAGCGUAAGGAGGCUCUGCCAUCUAUGCCGCAAGCUCACCAACCCACGUGGCUGAGGUGAUGGCUACCAGGAAUGUGACCUUCAUGGAUAGGAGAGACAUGAAGCAAGAAGCUAAUGUUUCAAAUGGAGACUUAGUGAGCACUGAGAGAACAAGGCUGUCCAUGUAAGCUCCCGGACUCAACAGGAAUGCGUCAGUAAUCAUCAUCCUUUCUGGUGUGAAGGCGAGGAAAGGAACACCAACACAAACCUGAUGGGGAUUUUUCCAUCAUGACAGGAACAAUAUUACUUUGGUGCUCAUGUUUGAUAAAGAAGCUAAAGCUUCGGAUACUGGAGGUUCCAAUCUGGACCAAGCGGCAGUGACAAGGAACUGGAGAGGCAGUUGGUCAGCCUCACCCUUUAUUUCCUAAGUGGGAGGCACAAGGUGACCCAGGAUGCAUGUGUGGACCAACACACGCUGCUUUCACAAUUCUCUGGCUCUGGAUGCAUGGAGUGAAUGCAUACCCACAGUGGAAUUCAGACAGGGACCAGCACUUGAAGAAGAAGCCUGAGUUACACACAAUGCCCAUACGGUGCUCCAGGCAGAGAGGCAUUGUGAGAUCAGAGGAAUAUUGACUAUGUAUUUGUAUUUCAACUAUGCUACUUUGGGUGACGCCCACUGCCAACACUCCAGGUACAACAAUGGACAAGCCAGACAGGGCAGAUGGCCCAUCAACAAGGACAAUGGACUGUAAAAAAGCUUAGUCUUCCUAUGAACCCGUGGGUCAGUCUGUGAAGAAUGGCUAUAAGGGCCCCACAGAAUCAGGUGGUCUUGUAACCUGAUACUAAAACAUUACCUCGGACUUCUUGUAACUUUCCACUGUAAAGAAGUGGGGGUCAAACUAGGAAACAAAGGACUCCCGCCUUAUGCAAAUCCUAUUUAAGGGUGGGGAGUGAGGUAAUCUGGGUCUUCAGUUCUCCCCUGCUACUCCACCCAAGAUGACUGCUGGGAACAACUAAGACUGAACUGGGGGAAAGAACUGAACCCAGGCUGGAAGGGCGUCUGGCCUGUGAAGAAGAUUAUCAGAACCACAUUUAGGGUGGACCUUACAUGUAACCAGUUUCUUUAGUGUAUUAAACUAAUUUUGUGUGCUCUGUUUUAUUUU
Long non-coding RNA from Mauremys reevesii (Reeves's turtle), 2579 nucleotides. RefSeq lists it as uncharacterized. The record is from RefSeq and is a predicted model, not a curated record. Lineage: Eukaryota; Metazoa; Chordata; Testudines; Geoemydidae. The transcript is spliced from 7 exons.